AGGGAUGUAGCGCAGUUUGGUAGCACCUUUGUUUUGGGUUAAAAAUGUCACGGGUUCAAAUCUUGUCAUCCCAA
This is a non-coding RNA of Solanum tuberosum (potato), 74 nucleotides long. Lineage: Eukaryota; Viridiplantae; Streptophyta; Magnoliopsida; Solanales; Solanaceae. The record is from Rfam.